AUUUAUGUAGUUUAAAAAAAACCUUACAUUUUCAUUGUAAAAAUAAAGAAAUUCUUUUAUAAAUU
This 65-nucleotide transfer RNA is filed under the name Hercostomus brevipilosus. Its description in RNAcentral is "tRNA-Glu". The record is from RNAcentral. Lineage: Eukaryota; Metazoa; Arthropoda; Insecta; Diptera; Dolichopodidae.